GAUAAACGCUGGCGGCGUGCAUAACACAUGCAAGUCGAACGAUGAAGAUUAAAAGAUUUCUUCGGAAUGAACUUAAUUGGAUUAGUGGCGGACGGGUGAGUAACGCGUGAGUAACCUGCCUUGUACAAGGGGAUAGCCGUUGGAAACGACGAAUAAUACCCUAUGACAUCAAAUAAUCGCAUGAUAAUUUGAUCAAAGAUUUAUCGGUAUAAGAUGGACUCGCGUCUGAUUAGCUAGUUGGUAGAGUAAAAGCCUACCAAGGCAACGAUCAGUAGCCGGCUUGAGAGAGUGUACGGCCACAUUGGGACUGAGACACGGCCCAGACUCCUACGGGAGGCAGCAGUGGGGAAUUUUGCACAAUGGGGGAAACCCUGAUGCAGCGACGCCGCGUGAUUUAGAAGGCCUUCGGGUGGUAAAAUCUUUUGUAUGGGAAGAAAAUGACAGUACCAUACGAAUAAGGACCGGCUAAUUACGUG
RNAcentral lists this ribosomal RNA (476 nucleotides) under uncultured bacterium. RNAcentral's name for it is "partial 16S ribosomal RNA". It matches the Rfam family "Bacterial small subunit ribosomal RNA", at positions 28 to 507 of the family's 1533-position model. The record is from RNAcentral.